This 1355-nucleotide ribosomal RNA is filed under the name uncultured bacterium. RNAcentral describes it as "bacterial SSU rRNA". It matches the Rfam family "Bacterial small subunit ribosomal RNA", at positions 28 to 1381 of the family's 1533-position model. The record is from RNAcentral.
AUUGAACGCUGGCGGCAGGCUUAACACAUGCAAGUCGAACGAUGAUUAUCUAGCUUGCUAGAUAUGAUUAGUGGCGGACGGGUGAGUAACAUUUAGGAGUCUGCCUAGUAGUGGGGGAUAGCUCGGGGAAACUCGAAUUAAUACCGCAUACGACCUACGGGUGAAAGGGGGCGCAAGCUCUUGCUAUUAGAUGAGCCUAAAUCAGAUUAGCUAGUUGGUGGGGUAAAGGCCCACCAAGGCGACGAUCUGUAACUGGUCUGAGAGGAUGAUCAGUCACACCGGAACUGAGACACGGUCCGGACUCCUACGGGAGGCAGCAGUGAGGAAUAUUGGACAAUGGGGGCAACCCUGAUCCAGCCAUGCCGCGUGUGUGAAGAAGGCCUUUUGGUUGUAAAGCACUUUAAGCAGGGAGGAGAGGCUAAUGGUUAAUACCCAUUAGAUUAGACGUUACCUGCAGAAUAAGCACCGGCUAACUCUGUGCCAGCAGCCGCGGUAAUACAGAGGGUGCGAGCGUUAAUCGGAAUUACUGGGCGUAAAGCGAGUGCAGGUGGCUCAUUAAGUCACAUGUGAAAUCCCCGGGCUUAACCUGGGAACUGCAUGUGAUACUGGUGGUGCUAGAAUAUGUGAGAGGGAAGUAGAAUUCCAGGUGUAGCGGUGAAAUGCGUAGAGAUCUGGAGGAAUACCGAUGGCGAAGGCAGCUUCCUGGCAUAAUAUUGACACUGAGAUUCGAAAGCGUGGGUAGCAAACAGGAUUAGAUACCCUGGUAGUCCACGCCGUAAACGAUGUCUACUAGCCGUUGGGGUCCUUGAGACUUUAGUGGCGCAGUUAACGCGAUAAGUAGACCGCCUGGGGAGUACGGCCGCAAGGUUAAAACUCAAAUGAAUUGACGGGGGCCCGCACAAGCGGUGGAGCAUGUGGUUUAAUUCGAUGCAACGCGAAGAACCUUACCUGGUCUUGACAUAGUGAGAAUCCUGCAGAGAUGCGGGAGUGCCUUCGGGAAUUCGCAUACAGGUGCUGCAUGGCUGUCGUCAGCUCGUGUCGUGAGAUGUUGGGUUAAGUCCCGCAACGAGCGCAACCCUUUUCCUUAUUUGCCAGCGGGUUAAGCCGGGAACUUUAAGGAUACUGCCAGUGACAAACUGGAGGAAGGCGGGGACGACGUCAAGUCAUCAUGGCCCUUACGACCAGGGCUACACACGUGCUACAAUGGUAGGUACAGAGGGUUGCUACACAGCGAUGUGAUGCUAAUCUCAAAAAGCCUAUCGUAGUCCGGAUUGGAGUCUGCAACUCGACUCCAUGAAGUCGGAAUCGCUAGUAAUCGCAGAUCAGAAUGCUGCGGUGAAUACGUUCCCGGGCCU